Molecule: non-coding RNA, 6085 nt
Organism: Pelobates cultripes (western spadefoot toad)
Lineage: Eukaryota; Metazoa; Chordata; Amphibia; Anura; Pelobatidae
Source: the annotation of a GenBank genome assembly
UGAGUAUAGCAAGGAUGUUUAGUAUAUUUAGCAAAGAGGCAAUCAAACAAUAUUUGACUGUAGUAGCCACAAACUAAUAAAGGCAGUUAUGAACACAUGAAGUAGCUGAUAAAGUUUUAUUGGAAUUAGCAUAUAAACACCGUAGUUCCACAUCAGAGCUCAUCUGACCCACUAGUAAGCCAACACAUAUGAUUACCACUUCACCACUUUCUUUUCGCUAACUAGCUCCCCGUGAGGUGGCGUUGCAAUAAAGGAAGUGUAAACAUUAGACAACUCUUUACAGGAAGUGUUUAGGAAGGCUGUGCAAGACAAAUGCAGGGAGGUGUGACUAGUGUUGCAUAAACAAAGAUUUAAAUUCUAAAUGGCAGAAAAUUGAGUAGUGACACCGCAGGGCCAUGACCUAUACACCAAAACGGCUUCAGUAAGCUGUGGUUGUUCUGUGACUAUAGUGUCCCUUUAUGUUAAUGUUAAAAUGUUAAUUCACAAUCAAAACACUGUUUUAAGUAUUUUUUAUGAAAAAAUUAAAAAGAAGACAAAAAAACUAUACAAAUCAAAGAGCAAUGAGUAGAGGCAAGGAUGUUUUGUAAAACUAGCAAAAAUGCAAUCAAACAAUAAUUGACUGCAGCACGCAUAAACAAAUAAAGGCAGGCAUGAACAAACGAAGUGGCUGAUAACAUUUUAUGGGAAUUAGAAUAUAAACGAUGUAGUUCCAAAGCUCAUUUGACCCACUAGUAAGCCAACACAUAUUGUUACCACUUCACCACUUUCUUUUCGCUAACUAGCUCCCCGUGAGGUGCCGUUGCAUCAGGCGGCAGGAGAGCCAGAUAAACGGGAGUCUCGGCACCUUCAUCUGGAGACUUUGGAGCAUUUGGACCGGCCAUAUCGGUUCUCACCCACCCUGGGCAACAGGCAUUAAGUAUUAUUCCAUCCCCUUUCCUCGUUGCGUCUAACUCUCUUGCUUGGAUCUUGGAGAGCACAGUCACUCCUAUUUUAGAUGUUCCGUAAGCAGUGUUUGGCCAACCUUCUUUUUGAUGUAUGUCUUGCUUGGCAUCUUCUACAAACUUUUCCAUAAGUUUGACCAGUUCCUCCUCUGUGAUCGACUCACUGCGAAAGACCUUCUGUAACUCUGGGCUGCAACGUCCCAAAGAAUUGUAGCUAACUAUGCUGGAAACAUUGACCACUCUCCCUAAGGGAACAGAAACAUUGAUUAUAUUAUUAACAUUACUGCAGUUCUACAGCACUCUCAGCGGUAAGAGGAGGCUCAGGAUUCUCUGUGCACCAUCACCUCUGAAAUUCAUUUUAGCAUGUGCUUAACUAAGAAGAUUCAUAUUUCCAAAGGAUUAUCACAGACCAAUCGUUCAAAGGAACAUUCCAAACACCAUAACCACUAUAGUAGUUUAACUUCUUACAUAGGGUCUGCUUCCGCUAGCUCUCCUGAGAUAAGCUCUGAUGAAUCUCAGCUGAUGAGCUAAGCCCUGCGCCGCCAGAGAAAGGGAAAGAGCAGAGUACUUGCAAAGCUGAUUUUAAUCUUUCCCCAAAUAAAACAUAUGGACACAAAUACAUGCAUAUUUUCUUCGUGGAAUAUAUCUACUAAAUUCUUAAAAAUAUAUAUAUAUAAAUAAUGUGACGAGAGCAAUCUCGCCACAUUGCAUUGGAGAAGCCUGGUUGCUCGCCUGUUGCCUUUGGAUUAUGGCCCCAUGUUAAAAGGCUUGAUUUUCCCCUGCAAAGACAAGAAAGCCGGGUCAUUUGGUGCUUGCCCUGUUUGAGCAGUGAUACCCCAGAUAGCUAUGCCAUGGAGCCCAUUCGUAUAAUGAAAGACUAUGGGAAAGACUUUGGCUCCAUGGCAAUUGAACUGUAUGUGUGUGCUCUGAGCGCCAUUCAGUAAUAAUGUGCGCUCAGACCUAAGCUAUCUGGGCAUAUGUUGCAUGUCUGUAUUUUAUGUCAUAAAUGUAACCUUGUGUAUUUUAUUGUAUUUUACUGUCUUUUGCUGCCAUGUGUUCAAUGGAGUUUUGCCUCUGUCUUUGGAGAUAAUUGGAUUACUUCUAAUUAUCUCCAGGAUAGAAGACUCUGUGGAACUGGUUUUGGGCAGAAAAGCCAUGCUUCCUGUGGUCACAAAGGACUACAAUCUAUCUUUUGAACCACUGGACCAAUUUGUAUGAUUUUGACGUAUGUUUGUAUUUGGAGUAUGCUGAUUCUGAAAAUGUAAGUUUUAUGUGAAUGUGAUGCAUACUUUUCAAGUUAUGAAUAAUGUGGAAAAAUUGUAUUUCUCUGCUUGUGCUAAAUUACAUUACCCAUUGUGUAAGGUAAUUGAAUCACAUGCAGAGGGGAGGAAUUUGUGUGGGAGUGUCUGAGUGUAUUGUAUGUGUUUAUUGGUUGUGUUCCAAAACCCUGUGGGUGGUACUAAUGUGUAAGAAUGUGUACAUAAGCACAAUAAACCCACAGCUCUGUCUGUUCACUGUUGAUUUUAGCCAAUCCAAUGCCAUUUUGAUUAUGUCACAAAGGGGGCAGAGCCAGCGCCACAGAAAUAAGGUGAGUUUUAAACUUUUAUAGCAGGGCUAAGGGGGGGCAAGCCACCGAAAUGGUGGGUUUAGCACUAUAGGGUCAGGAAUACAGGUUUGUGUUCCUGACCCUAUAGUGAUCCUUUAACAGUUAGUAAAUGGCUUCACAAUCUAUUUCAGUCGAGGCACUGCCCAGGCACACAAUGCAAAUGAGGAGAAGCACAAGGAUUGUAUAUUUCUUCUCUCUCUCUGUAUGCUUUCUAUAUGCUGACAGCCAGGUGCAAAGGACAACGCUUAUAACAAUGUGUCAAGGAAGAAAAUCUCAGGCACUCACCGUUAAGCAGCUUUAAUGGAUACUGCAACGUUUCAACAUUUUCAACAUGUACUCAGGUCUUUGUCAAGCUUUUUGUUUUUAUUUUUUAACGCUUAUAACAAUGACUGACUAAGAUGGAGGCUCCCAGCUUCAGGACAGAGAUGUGUAGAUUUCUAAAUGAAUUUUUAUUUUUUGCACCUCUCAAACAUUCAUUUGCUAAGUACAUGGGAUAAGUAAACAUAAUAUUAGAAAUUGGUGAUAAUAAUAAUAAUAAUAAUAAUAAUGAAAGAAAAUGGUGGUACUACUCUAAUAUAUGAGAUAACAGCUUGUUGACUCAAGGAGGAAUCUAGUUGCUAUUUGAAGUAAAAUAAUUGUCUCCCAUUUUGUGGCACAUUUGGAAAUCACUUUCUUACCUUCAUAUAUCAACAUCAUAGUUGGAAUUUAAAUCUCUUUUCAACAUAUCUUACUAUGUGAUUAAGCAAUUCUGGUAAUCUCACCGUGCGGCUUAAUUAAUGGCAGCAGUUCCUUGCAAACAUCCCUAGUGCCAUAGAAGUUGGUUUUCAUUGUGACUUCGGCUUGGGUACCAAAUGGAGUAGUGUCAGCAACUGGUAGCAAAAACAAAACAAAACCAUAAUUAUAUUUAAAUUAGUUGAAAUAACAGUGUGCAGGGUUGCCAUCAGACAUUUUGGCUCCCCUGACACAGCUCAUGGUCUUGGGCCCACUCCCGAGUCCUCCCACAAGGAUGUAAUUUGUUUGUGUAGUGGAUAUGUGUGUGUGUGUGUAGGUGUGUGCAAUGGACGCAGAGUAGGUGUGUGCAAUGGACGCAGAGUAGGUGUGUGCAAUGGACGCAGAGUAGGUGUGUGCAAUGGACGCAGAGUAGGUGUGUGCAAUGGACGCAGAGUAGGUGUGUGCAAUGGACGCAGAGUAGGUGUGUGCAAUGGACGCAGAGUAGGUGUGUGCAAUGGACGCAGAGUAGGUGUGUGCAAUGGACGCAGAGUAGGUGUGUGCAAUGGACGCAGAGUAGGUGUGUGCAAUGGACGCAGAGUAGGUGUGUGCAAUGGACGCAGAGUAGGUGUUUUGUGGAUGAUGUGUGUAGUGGCUGGGGGCUUGUAGGAGCUGGAGAGAGCGUCUGGAAGUUGAAGAUUACAUGUGCUGUGCCCCCUCUUCACUAUACAUGAUGUCGGGGGCCUGCAGGGGCAGUGGUGAAACUAACGUAAGUGCCCUGGUGCAAGACUUUUUUGGGCCUUCUAGCACAAGGGUGGCCAAAAUGUAGAUCCCCAUCUGUCGUACAAAUCCCAGAAUGCUUUGUCAGGUGGGGAUCUAUAAUUUGCCCAUACUUGCUGGAUUGUAUUUGGCACUGAGCAGUGUUUGUGCUUUUGAAUGUAAGCAUGUGUUUGUAAUGAGUAUGUGUGUGUGAAUGUUGGAUUUUGAAUGCAGGUGUGCAUUUGUGUGUAGUGUGAGACACACACAGAUACACACAGAUACACACACAUACUCUGACAUUCAUACAGAUACACAAACACACACACACACUGACAUACAUGCAAGUACACAGAUAUACAGACACACAGUAACACACACAGAUAAACACAUUGACACACAUACAAACACACACGCAGGUGCACACUAACACACAGAUACAGACACAGAUACCCACACUGACACACAGUUUCCCGUUAAAGGGGCCUGAUCGUGCUAUUAGAAAGCCCCAGUGCAUGACCAGGCCCAUUAAGACAUAUGCCAAUCGGGUGGUCCUAAGUGCACCAGCCACCCUAUGGGUCUCUUUGGCGUGUGGGCACAUAGUUCAACUGCUGCGCAGGACACACACACACAUAUAUAUAUAUAUAUAUAUAUAUAUAUAUAUAUAUAAAUAAAUAAAUAAUCGCUGUAUAUGUGCACAUUUGGAAUGUGAUGCCUGGGCGUCUGGACUCCCAGGACAGUGGGACGUUACAGCCAUCAUGGUUGUCACCCCCUGAUGUUGACCCGACAGCACUGUAACCCCACUCCCCCCAACCCCCGAAAAAUGAAUAUUUCAUAAAGAUAGAAUCCUUAUAAAAUACUAUUUAUGACUAUGUUCCAAUUUCACUGAAAUUCCACCCCAAUCAAGAGAUAUAGAGAGACAAAGUAGGGACUCCAUGUAUGUAUUCCAUUUGUCCUCUGCCUGACGUUCUUAGACUCAUGGCGGAGUCUAAGUGUCAAUACCAACAGCCAUCACCAGUGAUGGAUGCAGGGAAUUGGCUCGGUCUGUGGAGGAUCCUCCAUAGACCUCACUGCUGUAUUCUCAUUUCAGUCAAUAAGUCACAAACAGUCCAGUUUUGUCCAAAUAUUCUAUACUUUACAACAGGGGUGCCCAAAAGGUAGAUCCCUGGAUGUUUUAAAACUAAAGCUUCCACAAUACUUUGCCCAGUCUAAAACAUUCUAAAAACCAUGUAAAGCAUCAUGGGAAUUGUAGUUCCACAACAUCUGGGGGUCUACCUUUUGAGCACCCGUUUCUACAGCUAUUGUAACAGCUUGGCUACUUCAGCCUUUAUUUUGCAAUUCAGUAUUUCAUUCAGUGUCAUUCAUUGUUUUAGAAUGAAUUUUAAAUUGUGCCCAGAGUUAUAAGUAUUAUAAAACAUGAAUACUGAUACAAAGUUACUGGUAAGUAUUUCCAUAGCAACUGCUCCACAUAAAGGCUCCCCAGAUAUGCUCUUUGCCCUUUAAUUGGAAACAGGAGUCCAGCCUCUCCUAACCCCAUACUGUACAUUAUCACUAUACAAUAAUACAGGGGGCAUUUCUUACAUGUAGUUUCUUUACUACCUGACCGCAGUGUGUGCACAGUACCUCUAUUCCUGUUACCCCAGGGGCAGUCAGGGCAGCCAUACCCACCUUUAAAAGCAAUGCCAGCGUUGUUGAUGAGUACAUCGAUGCCCCCAUACUUGUCCUUUAGGAAAUCCCUGAGAGCCUGGAUGCUGGGUAUGUCAGUGAUGUCCAACUGGUGGAAGAGGGGGGACAAUCCUUCCUUCUCCAGGGCCUUGACAGCUUCCUCCCCCAGUUUCGGGUUCCUGGCAGUGAGAUAAACAUCCCCCUUGAACUGCUUGCAUAAGGCUUUGACUACAGCCAGCCCAACCCCCUUAUUGCCCCCUGUGACUACUGCAACCUUUACACUGGCCAUGAUGUAACCCUGAGCUGCUGCUACAAACAAGGAACAGGAGCUGAGUGAUACUGUGCUUAUUAUAACCGAUAACAGGCUUGGUUUGAAGAUCCCACCUCUUAAGGCUGGACUGAGUUAUAA